GAAGUCAGCCAGAUCGUCGCUGGUACAAGUCUCGAAAGGGCGUACUGGAGGAAGGUCCGGACUGCACAGGGCAGCGUAGGAGGUAACACCUCUCCACCGUAAGGUGAGGAUCAGAGCAACAGAGACGAGCCAAUUCAGUUUGGGUGAAACGGGCAAUCUCUACGCGCAGCAACACCAAAUAGGCACACGAUGACCUGGCCCGGGGAGUGUGCGGGUAGGUGGCACCGAGCCGUUCUGGUGACAGGCGGCCCAGAGGAAUGACGGUCACAGUUCAGCGUCGCGAGACACGGGACUGCACAGAAUCCGGCCUAUCGGCUGACUUCACAC
This 327-nucleotide RNase P RNA is filed under the name Aquabacterium sp. Its description in RNAcentral is "RNase P RNA component class A". It matches the Rfam family "Bacterial RNase P class A". Rfam says of the family: Ribonuclease P (RNase P) is a ubiquitous endoribonuclease, found in archaea, bacteria and eukarya as well as chloroplasts and mitochondria. Its best characterised activity is the generation of mature 5'-ends of tRNAs by cleaving the 5'-leader elements of precursor-tRNAs. The record is from RNAcentral. Lineage: Bacteria; Pseudomonadati; Pseudomonadota; Betaproteobacteria; Burkholderiales; Sphaerotilaceae.